AUGGGCAUAAGCAACUCACACUGGUUAGCUUUUGUCAGAUUUCGUCGUUUCCGCAGCAAAAUUUCUUAGUGUUGAUGUUGAUAGCUUCUGGGUUGGCAAACUGGCAGUUCACUCUAGUCUUACUGGGUUGGGCAAGUCCUUGCCCCUAGAAAAUUGGGGAUAGCUUUGGCCAUGGGAGGAGCAAGAACACUACGCAGUCGUAAGCUCUGUUUUUUGUUUUGUUUUGUUUUGUUUUGUUUUCGGCACCAUUAUGUACGAUGAAGACUUACAGCCACUGCUAAUACAGCAUAGGGGACACUUUGAGGAGCCCUAGUAUCAUUGUUUGAAAUCAUUGUACAGGGAACUGCAGGGGUGAACACCAUUGUACCAAUCCCCGGGCCAGUGUCUCAUUUCCUAACAGAAUCAUCCCAUUCUUGUUCACUCUUCAGUCAUCCCAAGCCAAAAGGGAAAAUUCGAAACCCACUGUGACACCCCAACCCUAAUUUCCAACCUUUGGAGGACUCACCUGGGGCAGAAGGGAGAAAGGGCUUUGCUGAAGUCUCAGGCUGCCGAGAGCCAUGUAUGGGCAUAGGAGCAAGCUGAUGGCAUGGCUCUUGACAAGGUUUUCUAUAGGGCAGCAGCUGCUGCUCCCAGGGGAACCCUCUCCUGUUGCCUCCGCAGUCUAUUCUGGGGUGGAAACACCAUUCUCUAUUAUUUCUCUCACAUACAUGUGGAUUUCUAAUAUCAAGUUAUGUGACUGCCUACCACUUAAGGCCUACAAAACCACAUGGGAGUUUCUUUAUUGCGUAUGCAGCCAGUCAACAUGAAUGGGACCCUAGAAACUGUGAGGAGCAGGAUUCUCUAAGGUGCUCUUAGAUACGGUGUCACUUCCACAUACAAGCACAAUUCUCCCAGUUAAGGGGCUGGAAGACAAGCGGGGCAACUGGUUUUGAAAAGCCCGCUGGCGUGCCAGAGGGGGUGUUUGCCCACACCCUCCUUGAAUUUAACUGCCACAAUCUAUCCGCAGAUGUGUUUUGUUCUAUUUCUUGUUUUUCACUAGCGUUUGCGUUGCUUCCUCUGAAGCCAGAGGGUGAAAGGCCCUAGCAAAGUUAGUUAUCAGUCAACUGAUGAUAACUGUGAUCCUUAAAGAUGAAUUCCCAGCCUGAGGUGACACACAGAGGUUCAGCAGACGUCUCAGGAUCUGUCAUAUGUCAUGUUGCUUGGUGUGAAGAUGGAAGAACAAAGUCCACAUCAGUUUCUGCUCCUUCAAACAGUGUGUCGAUAUGAAACAUUGAGAUUUGGCAGAAACAUGUGCCUAGUUUGCAGCACCAAAUACUGGUCUUCUCAGAAGUGUUUCUGUUUUUUUGUUUUUGUUUUUGUUUUUGUUUUUGUUUUUGUUUUGUUUAAUUUCCUCUUCUGGCAUCCCAAUUUGGAUCAUUUCCUCUCUUUCUUUCCUGGAGAAACAGGAUGGCAGGUGCUGGAGCCCAGAGAGGGGGUCACCCUCCAGCUAAAAUGAUUUAAAUGGAAAGGAGAAUGACAGCAAAGCCUCACGUGAACUUUAAUGACCUUAUCAAUGACCUUUACUAACUGACUCUUGGUACCCGGAUUGUUGAGAGGUGAGUGGGACUAAAAGCCAGGAUCAAGAUCAGGUUGCUCCACACAUUUGCAGAUCAGGAACCCCGGGAAUAUGAGUUAGACCCAGAAAGUAUUGAACUGGACAUUGAAUGAAGCUUGAGGCCAUGCAUUGAUAACAUUUUUAGAGUCUGUUACAUUAUUUUCUCAAAAGGAACACAUGUUUACUACAAACCAUUUAGAAAAUACCAAUAACCAAACAGAAGGGAAAUGUCUGGAACCUUCCAGUUGUUUAAUUCUGUAGAAACUGUUCACGAAAGGCUGAAUGAGUGGGGACAAGUCACAGAGAUCUCGCCAUGGUUAGCACCAGGGACAAGUCUGGCUCUAAUGUAUGUUUUAUGAAGUCUGAUUAGCUUUGAAAUGCAUCUUUGCCAGCUGAACUUGUCAUGCACUAAACUUCCCAUUGAUCAUUAGAGUGUCUACGAUUAAGUGGAAAAGGUGGUCAACCAUUUGGAUGUUUGACUUUCACAACAUCAAGCAUUGGCCAUUGGGCGUAUCUGGGCAUUGGUAUGGAAUAAACAGGAUACUCAGUGAAACAUCCAAACUAUUGACUGGAUUUUUCCCAUGGGGCAUCUGUCUAAGAGUCACAGAUCUGAGAAAUAGAAGGACCAGGUCCGUGUGGAUGCUCCUAGUGCGUUCAAAUAACCCUUGAAUUCACCAGGUCUCAUUGCAUUUAUUUAAAGAUGGAGCCCAUUGUCCCCCCUCCUCCUCAGCUCACCCAUGGAACUAGAAAUUCACAAACCUGAAGCUGAACCACAGGACAAGAAAUUAAACAGCAACGGCCACAUGGCCUCUUUUUUCACAGGUUUUGCAUUGAAUGUUUUAGAACUUUAUUCCCCCGCCCCCUCACCCAUGUAUACCAAAACUGGUUUUAUUUUCAUUUUCCUAAAUUAUUUUCUGAUACAAUAAACUGUUAACUGUUUAUUUAUACUUUUACAAGGAGCACUUGUUAUUUUUCAAAAGGAAAACAAAAGCCUCUCUGUUUUCAUGUUCUCCGUAUAUCUAUACCACAGCUGUCUCUAUAGACGUAUUUAUAUAUCAUCUUCUUGAGAGAGUUAACCUCCUGUAGUUUAAUGUUGUGUUUCUUUUCUUUAAAUGCAUAUCAUAAUCAUGUUAAUAAACAAAAAUGACACAAUAUAUGUGGGUGGGGGGCGGGGGGCAGGUGGCUGGGUGUGAUUUCCGUACAGGUGAACUUUUAUUCCAGAUUUUUUUAAGUUGUUUCUGUAUUUCAAAGCUAUGUAUUUGGAAAACAUUGUAAAUGAAACACCUAUAUUAACUUUCCUGUGUAUAUUUAGUACUCUGAUGUUGCUAUUAAAAAAAAAAACAUAAUAUGAAAAAAAAAAAAAAGA
RNAcentral lists this long non-coding RNA (2960 nucleotides) under Homo sapiens (human). Its description in RNAcentral is "non-protein coding lnc-AJAP1-5:2". Lineage: Eukaryota; Metazoa; Chordata; Mammalia; Primates; Hominidae. The record is from RNAcentral.